AGUGAACGCUGGCGGUAGGCCUAACACAUGCAAGUCGAACGGCAGCACAGUAAGAGCUUGCUCUUACGGGUGGCGAGUGGCGGACGGGUGAGGAAUACAUCGGAAUCUACUUUUUCGUGGGGGAUAACGUAGGGAAACUUACGCUCAUACCGCAUACGACCUACGGGUGAAAGCAGGGGAUCUUCGGACCUUGCGCGAUUGAAUGAGCCGAUGUCGGAUUAGCUAGUUGGCGGGGUAAAGGCCCACCAAGGCGACGAUCCGUAGCUGGUCUGAGAGGAUGAUCAGCCAAACUGGAACUGAGACACGGUCCAGACUCCUACGGGAGGCAGCAGUGGGGAAUAUUGGACAAUGGGCGCAAGCCUGAUCCAGCCAUACCGCGUGGGUGAAGAAGGCCUUCGGGUUGUAAAGCCCUUUUGUUGGGAAAGAAAAGCAGCAGGUUAAUACCCCGCUGUUCUGACGGUACCCAAAGAAUAAGCACCGGCUAACUUCGUG
RNAcentral lists this ribosomal RNA (492 nucleotides) under uncultured bacterium. Its description in RNAcentral is "partial 16S ribosomal RNA". It matches the Rfam family "Bacterial small subunit ribosomal RNA", at positions 29 to 507 of the family's 1533-position model. The record is from RNAcentral.